This 721-nucleotide long non-coding RNA is filed under the name Mustela putorius furo (domestic ferret). Its description in RNAcentral is "lncRNA (ENSMPUG00000029177.1)". The record is from RNAcentral. Lineage: Eukaryota; Metazoa; Chordata; Mammalia; Carnivora; Mustelidae.
GGUGUGCCUUGCAAUCUUCCGCCACCCUUCGGAUUUUCCGCUGGGAGGGAGAGAUGAAGCCAAAUGCAGAAACUCCAUGAAAAAGGAAAAUGUUUCAAUCCAUGUAACUUUCACCCCAAACUAAGAAAUGAAUGAACAGGUGCUGCUGCAUUCUUCCAGUGACCCUAAAUGGACAAAAACAAGGAAGGUAGCAAGCAGCGUCUGUAGAUGCCAAGCACUUGGACAGAUGGUUCUUCUUUAUGUCCGGAGGAAAACAAGUCCUCCAAAGAAGGGAUGUAGGAAAGCUGCAGAGCCAAAGACCAAGGGAACCAUGCCAAUGUGCAUUCUUACCAAAGGGAAAACUGAGAGACCAAAGAACAUGUUCUCUGUGGCAAGAGAUAAGGUUAAGGGGACAAUAGCAACAAGUACUCAUUUUAUCACACAUCUGACUCCCCACAGGAUCCUCAGUAUCUCAAAGGUGGGAACCUGUCUUCUUCAUGUCCCCAGCAGAGUAUGCGGCUAUUAGCAAACAUUAAGCAAAUAAAGAAAUAAAUGCUGCCUUCAUUUUCUCUUGAAUAUUUGCUUCUUUUAUUUUAAAAGAUGUAUUUGUUUUAGAAAGACAGAGCGAGCCAGUGGGGGGAGGGGAGAGGGAGAGAAUCUUUAAGCAGGAUCCCCAGUUAGUGUGGAGUCCAAUGAGGGGCUCGAUCUCACCACCCACCAGGUCAGGACCUGAGCCGAAACC